CUACGGGGGGCUGCAGUGAGGAAUUUUGCGCAAUGGGGGAAACCCUGACGCAGCAACGCCGCGUGAGUGAUGAAGGCCUUCGGGUCGUAAAGCUCUGUCAAGUGGGAAGAAGGUGCCCAUGGCUAAUAUCCGUGGGUAUUGACGGUACCACUGAAGGAAGCACCGGCUAACUCCGUGCCAGCAGCCGCGGUAAUACGUAGGUGGCAAGCGUUGUCCGGAAUUACUGGGCGUAAAGGAUGCGUAGGCGGCUUCUUAAGUGGGAUGUGAAAUGCCGGGGCUUAACCCCGGAUCGGCAUUCCAUACUGGGAGGCUAGAGUGCAGGAGAGGAAAGCGGAAUUCCCAGUGUAGCGGUGAAAUGCGUAGAGAUUGGGAGGAACACCAGUGGCGAAGGCGGCUUUCUGGACUGUAACUGACGCUGAGGCAUGAAAGUGUGGGGAGCAAACAGGAUUAGAUACCCCGGUAGUC
RNAcentral lists this ribosomal RNA (465 nucleotides) under uncultured bacterium. RNAcentral's name for it is "partial 16S ribosomal RNA". It matches the Rfam family "Bacterial small subunit ribosomal RNA", at positions 339 to 795 of the family's 1533-position model. The record is from RNAcentral.